RNAcentral lists this ribosomal RNA (1468 nucleotides) under Cylindrospermopsis raciborskii ITEP-A1. Its description in RNAcentral is "bacterial SSU rRNA". It matches the Rfam family "Bacterial small subunit ribosomal RNA". The record is from RNAcentral. Lineage: Bacteria; Bacillati; Cyanobacteriota; Cyanophyceae; Nostocales; Aphanizomenonaceae. RNAcentral also lists the same sequence under 1 other name.
AGAGUUUGAUCCUGGCUCAGGAUGAACGCUGGCGGUAUGCUUAACACAUGCAAGUCGAACGGGAUGCUUAGGCAUCUAGUGGCGGACGGGUGAGUAACGCGUGAGAAUCUGGCUCCAGGUCGGGGAUAACAGUUGGAAACGACUGCUAAUACCGGAUGUGCCGAGAGGUGAAAGAUUUAUCGCCUGGAGAUGAGCUCGCGUCUGAUUAGCUAGUUGGCGGUGUAAGGGACCACCAAGGCAUCGAUCAGUAGCUGGUCUGAGAGGAUGAUCAGCCACACUGGGACUGAGACACGGCCCAGACUCCUACGGGAGGCAGCAGUGGGGAAUUUUCCGCAAUGGGCGAAAGCCUGACGGAGCAAUACCGCGUGAGGGAGGAAGGCUCUUGGGUCGUAAACCUCUUUUCUCAAGGAAGAAGAAAGUGACGGUACUUGAGGAAUAAGCAUCGGCUAACUCCGUGCCAGCAGCCGCGGUAAUACGGAGGAUGCAAGCGUUAUCCGGAAUGAUUGGGCGUAAAGGGUCUGCAGGUGGAACUGAAAGUCUGCUGUUAAAGAGUUUGGCUUAACCAAAUAAAAGCGGUGGAAACUACAGAACUAGAGUGCGGUAGGGGCAAAAGGAAUUCCUGGUGUAGCGGUGAAAUGCGUAGAUAUCAGGAAGAACACCGGUGGCGAAAGCGUUUUGCUAGACCGUAACUGACACUGAGGGACGAAAGCUAGGGGAGCGAAUGGGAUUAGAUACCCCAGUAGUCCUAGCCGUAAACGAUGGAUACUAGGCGUGGCUUGUAUCGACCCGAGCCGUGCCGGAGCUAACGCGUUAAGUAUCCCGCCUGGGGAGUACGCACGCAAGUGUGAAACUCAAAGGAAUUGACGGGGGCCCGCACAAGCGGUGGAGUAUGUGGUUUAAUUCGAUGCAACGCGAAGAACCUUACCAAGACUUGACAUCCUGCGAAUCCCGGUGAAAGCUGGGAGUGCCUUAGGGAGCGCAGAGACAGGUGGUGCAUGGCUGUCGUCAGCUCGUGUCGUGAGAUGUUGGGUUAAGUCCCGCAACGAGCGCAACCCUCGUUUUUAGUUGCCAGCAUUAAGUUGGGCACUCUAGAGAGACUGCCGGUGACAAACCGGAGGAAGGUGAGGAUGACGUCAAGUCAGCAUGCCCCUUACGUCUUGGGCUACACACGUACUACAAUGCUACGGACAGAGGGCAGCGAGCCAGGGAUGGCAAGCGAAUCCAGAAACCGUAGCUCAGUUCAGAUCGAAGGCUGCAACUCGCCUUCGUGAAGGAGGAAUCGCUAGUAAUUGCAGGUCAGCAUACUGCAGUGAAUUCGUUCCCGGGCCUUGUACACACCGCCCGUCACACCAUGGAAGUUGGUCACGCCCGAAGUCAUUACCCCAACCGAAAGGAGGGGGAUGCCUAAGGUAGGACUGGUGACUGGGGUGAAGUCGUAACAAGGUAGCCGUACCGGAAGGUGUGGCUG